This 279-nucleotide ribosomal RNA is filed under the name uncultured archaeon. Its description in RNAcentral is "partial 16S rRNA". It matches the Rfam family "Archaeal small subunit ribosomal RNA", at positions 1047 to 1325 of the family's 1478-position model. The record is from RNAcentral.
GAGACCCACGCCAACAGUUGCCAGCACGUUCUCCGGAAUGGUGGGGACACUGUUGGGACCGCCUCUGCUAAAGAGGAGGAAGGAAUGGACAACGGUAGGUCAGCAUGCCCCGAAUUACCCGGGCUACACGCGGGCUACAAUGGACAGGACAAUGGGAAUCGACACCGAGAGGUGAAGGCAAUCCCCUAAACCUGCCCUUAGUUCGGAUUGUGGGCUGCAACUCGCCCACAUGAAGCUGGAAUCCGUAGUAAUCGCGGAUCAACAUUCCGCGGUGAAUAU